GGCAGACUGCUGACUUCCAUGUAAGCAGAACUGCAGCACAUUUUGCCCUUUGGCCAGAAGAUGGAGAAUGAGUACUGUUAAGUAUUUGAGAAUGUGGUCUGGAUCUCCUUGAUUCUCUCUCCUGUGAGCUUGAUCUCCUGAUGCUAAAGAAACCCUGGGAGAAUAAACUCUUUGCCCCAUUUUGUUUUGCUGCUUUGUCACUUUGAAACCAAUCCUCAUUGCUUUUGAUCAAAAAGGAACCUGAAUGCCAGACUGGUUCAGAACAGCUUCUUCUCACUCAAGGCAAGGUGCUUUCUUUACAGGAGGUAUACCAGUCCAAACUGUGAAAGAUGAGAAGGAAUUAAAAGCUGAAAAAUGGAACUUGGCAGAAUUCCAGAGGAAGUAUCUUUGCAAGCACAGAUAAUAGAUGAGCCAACCUGACAGUCUCUCUGUUGGUGCAGGUGAGAUGCAUUAUAAACCUGGGGGU
Molecule: long non-coding RNA, 466 nt
Filed under: Apteryx owenii (little spotted kiwi)
Lineage: Eukaryota; Metazoa; Chordata; Aves; Apterygiformes; Apterygidae
Description: lncRNA (ENSAOWG00000006836.1)
Source: RNAcentral